CGUGACGGCGCGAGCAGGUGCGAAAGCAGGUCAUAGUGAUCCGGUGGUUCUGAAUGGAAGGGCCAUCGCUCAACGGAUAAAAGGUACUCCGGGGAUAACAGGCUGAUACCGCCCAAGAGUUCAUAUCGACGGCGGUGUUUGGCACCUCGAUGUCGGCUCAUCACAUCCUGGGGCUGAAGUAGGUCCCAAGGGUAUGGCUGUUCGCCAUUUAAAGUGGUACGCGAGCUGGGUUUAGAACGUCGUGAGACAGUUCGGUCCCUAUCUGCCGUGGGCGCUGGAGAACUGAGGGGGGCUGCUCCUAGUACGAGAGGACCGGAGUGGACGCAUCACUGGUGUUCGGGUUGUCAUGCCAAUGGCACUGCCCGGUAGCUAAAUGCGGAAGAGAUAAGUGCUGAAAGCAUCUAAGCACGAAACUUGCCCCGAGAUGAGUUCUCCCUGAGACUU
RNAcentral lists this ribosomal RNA (444 nucleotides) under Salmonella enterica. RNAcentral describes it as "partial 23S ribosomal RNA". It matches the Rfam family "Bacterial large subunit ribosomal RNA", at positions 2380 to 2823 of the family's 2925-position model. Lineage: Bacteria; Pseudomonadati; Pseudomonadota; Gammaproteobacteria; Enterobacterales; Enterobacteriaceae. The record is from RNAcentral.